RNAcentral lists this ribosomal RNA (208 nucleotides) under uncultured Gemmatimonas sp. RNAcentral's name for it is "partial 16S ribosomal RNA". It matches the Rfam family "Bacterial small subunit ribosomal RNA", at positions 568 to 775 of the family's 1533-position model. The record is from RNAcentral. Lineage: Bacteria; Pseudomonadati; Gemmatimonadota; Gemmatimonadia; Gemmatimonadales; Gemmatimonadaceae.
CGCGUAGGCGGUGGGGUAAGCGUGUGGUGAAAGUCCGGGGCUCAACCCCGGAUCGGCCGUGCGAACUGCUUCACUUGAGCACUGUAGAGGCAGGUGGAAUUCCGGGUGUAGCGGUGGAAUGCGUAGAGAUCCGGAAGAACACCGGUGGCGAAGGCGGCCUGCUGGGCAGUGGCUGACGCUGAGGCGCGACAGCGUGGGGAGCAAACAG